Long non-coding RNA from Bactrocera neohumeralis, 2804 nucleotides. RefSeq lists it as uncharacterized. NCBI's taxonomy places the organism in Eukaryota, Metazoa, Arthropoda, Insecta, Diptera, Tephritidae. The transcript is spliced from 3 exons. The record is from RefSeq and is a predicted model, not a curated record.
ACACUUGUACUGAAUUUGAAUUUCUUAGCAUGGAGUUAACUCUUCUAGAACUUUGAGCAGAGCGUCAUCAGGAAGUCCAUGCACGUACGGGUGCCAUAACGCAGGCUGUGACAACAGUUCUCCAGAAGCGAGCGUCAAAUAUCUUCAUACUUAUAAACACGAAUACAGCAGUAUUACACAAAGUACAACAACACUUGUAGAUAUAGUACAACCGAUACAAUACGUCAGCAGUACGCGCAAUCGAGGCGACAGCUUUGAAUCGGCAAUAAUUUAUCGCAAAUAUCUAAAACUUACACGUAAACUGUGGCAGUUAAGAACCAAUAAAUCUCGCACGACAAAUAAGAUACAAACACAUCUAUGCAAUGACAGGCCGAUGAGAGCGUGCUGCAUGUCACAUACGCCCGAGGGAAUGCAAUGCAACGACGCAAUUUGGACGCGAAAUGCAAAGUGCAAAAAACUCCCAUAGAAGAUUAAUUGGGCGUUCCACAAGUUCAACAAGUUAUUUUUAUCAAUCACAGAGAACUAAAAUUGUGUUCCACAAGUUCAACCAAGUGAAAUCGAAGCUUUGUCGCUUGAUGUUUCUAUGGAAAAGGCGAGCUCCCAAAUCUUCUUCAAUGUAAAACCUGUUGCGAUUAAAGUAUGGAUAUUUUUUCGGAUUUUUUGCCGACAUAUUUGAUAUUUGACAGCAAGCUACGUCAUCACAACUUACCAAUUGGUGAGGUUUCUCAUUCAAACUAAAUAGUUCCCGAAUUUUUUUGAGUUCAUCAAGUCGCAAGUGAUAAUCAAAUUUCUUGAGGAACUUUUCAGAAGAAAAAAAAUGAAGAUGAACAGCUUGAAAGCAGAAAUGACAGUCCUUAACCAAAAAAUCUACGUCAAAAAGUGAAGAACAGGACAUUAAAAAAACGGACAACACUGUGUUUACUAACAAUAAAGGACCAUUUUGAUCGAAUGAAGAGUUCACUAAAGAUCUUAUCGAUGGUAUUUUGCCUACCUACAGUAAAUUUUAAGAACCAUGCUUCGAGAUGGUCCGCCCUUUUCAUGGCUGUAACUCGAAACCUAUUUAAGAUAUCGAUUUGAAAUUUUAGUAUAUUAUUUGUAAAGGUAUAAACUAACUAAAUAUAAAAAAUCCAAAAUUUCCCACUAGGGGGGCACAACUUCGUAAGCCUCUAAGAUUAUAUUUUUCUAAGCAAGAUUGCACGAAUGUUAAAAAUCGAACAUUUUUGACCACUUGUAAGCCAAAAUGUUCGGCUUCUUGCGUAGUACACAUGGCAGGAUUUCCAUACAAAUUUCUGUAGAAGCUCUGGGAAGCACAUAAAAUCACAGGUAUUCCAAAAUAAUUAAAUUCAAACACGCAUUGCUUGGCGCCGUUGCGAAAAAAUGCAAAACAGUAGCAAGCAAUCAACGACAAUUAGGUGAGACGCAAAGAACGACGUACGAAGGAUUCGGAAAUAGGGAAAAAAGGAAAUAAAAAAUUCAAAAAAAAGCGAUAAAGAAACAUUCACCAAUCAGCAGAGACUAAUUAGCGACGCAGCCGCAGACCACAGGAACUGCGAGUUAUUAUGAGAAAAGGCGAAACAUAAAACACAGCAAGCAAAUCAUUGACUCCAAACCAAUGAAAGUGAGAAAAAAACUCAAACAAAAACGGAGCAUUGAAACAUUCAAGCAAUUUAAGAAUCAGAGCACGCUAUAUAACCGCAAAUUGAAUGCCACAAACGAUAAUAAGACGCAACACAACAAGAUUACUAUAAUUACGGUGAAAUAAAAAACAUAUAUACGAGCACUGGGAAUACCCAGUCAGACGGAAACGUGACCACAAUGGAGAGACAGCAAAACAUAUUUAUGCGACUGACUGCUGUUCGUGGGAAUCAAGCGCGUAGGGGUAAGGAAGCGUUGGUACAGACAUAACCAAGAAGGGAAGUGCUGUAGAUAUGAAUUUUGUAGAGAUUGCUGCAAACAGACCGAAGCUCAAAAAUAAGAAAUUUGUACAAGAACGGUAAAUAGCACAUUUGAUAGAUCCAAAGAGCUCUUUUCCGCCACUUCAGACAAUCUAACUCCACUUUAAUCGUAGUUAUGUUUUGACAACGAUCUCAGCUAAAGUGAAGAAUGCCUAGAAGCGACCUGAUAAAUAGGAGUAGUUAGGAUGGGAUACUGGAAAGAAUUUUCUACGACAAAUGCAUUGGAUAUGACUGGGUCUAACCUAGAUAGAUUUUUAUUUCACUUCUAAGCCUCACUUUUAUUGCAAAAAAACUUGUGUUUAGCAUUUCCAAUUCAACCUCGGCUUUGGUUCAAGUAAGGCAUUGGAGGUAUAUAAAUAUAUGCAAUAAAUUAUUGUUUACUAUAAAAAGCCUGAACUAAAUUAAUCAGCGCUUAGAACCUCAAAACAAUUUCAUAAGAAAAUUGAUUUACAACUGAUUUUAUAACACGAUCAUUAAACGUUUUAAUUUGGACACAUAAAUUGCCACUAAUUGUUGUUUUCGCUAACAAGGCGAACAGUGACAGUCUUCUGAAGAACAAAACAAUUUUAAUAAUUGUUUACACACUUUCUAUGAGUCUGAUCAAAGUGAGAGAAAGAAGCGAGAAGAUUGCGAAAUUAUAUUUUUUUUUCAUACAAAACUGAUUUAUUAUUGAUAAUAUAUGUAUGUAUCUCAUUUACUAUUUAUUUUCAUUUUACGAAUUUAUUUCACCACUAUACCACAAACAUAUGUUAAAAAGUUUGAUAUUCAUUUGUUGGGAGAGUUUAUAAAAUAUAUUUUAGACAUGUUUGAAGUAUCAUUAAAGAAUUUUAAUUAAUAACUAGUAUCCAA